Molecule: transfer-messenger RNA, 344 nt
Filed under: Spirochaetia bacterium
Lineage: Bacteria; Pseudomonadati; Spirochaetota; Spirochaetia
Rfam family: transfer-messenger RNA
About the family: Bacterial tmRNA, also known as 10Sa RNA or SsrA, is named for its dual tRNA and mRNA-like properties. Its role is to liberate the mRNA from a stalled ribosome. To accomplish this part of the tmRNA is used as a reading frame that ends in a translation stop signal.
Source: RNAcentral
GGGGAUGUUCCGGUUUCGACUGGUACGGUUCGCUUUGCAGGCCGCAGGUGGAGUGUCGAUCUCCUGAUUCGGCAAAACAUUUAACUGCCAACAACGACAGUUACGAUUACGCCUUAGCUGCGUAACCGCGUGGACCCGUUCCGCCGCUCUGAGGGACGGAGUCUGCGUCGCAAUCAGAGCUGGCUAACCGGCGUUUCCAUGCGGCGGAAGGCGAGAUUUUCAUGGAAUACGGGUACACCGCCUGCCGCGAAGCAAAGCGCGCCCCGACAAUUCAAUCCGCGGCUAAACCUGUAGACGUUUGUAAGGUGCGUAUUAGGACGCGGGUUCAACUCCCGCCAUCUCCA